RNAcentral lists this ribosomal RNA (208 nucleotides) under uncultured bacterium. RNAcentral's name for it is "partial 16S ribosomal RNA". It matches the Rfam family "Bacterial small subunit ribosomal RNA", at positions 568 to 774 of the family's 1533-position model. The record is from RNAcentral.
CGUGCAGGCGGUCAUGUAAGUGGCGCGUGAAAGCGCCCGGCUCAACCGGGCGAGGCCGUGACCAAACUGCGUGACUAGAGGUAGGUAGAGGUAUGUGGAAUUCCGGGUGUAGUGGUGAAAUGCGUAGAGAUCCGGAGGAACACCAGUGGCGAAGGCGGCAUACUGGACCUGACCUGACGCUAAGACGCGAAAGCAUGGGGAGCGAACG